RNAcentral lists this unclassified non-coding RNA (315 nucleotides) under Armillaria sp. RNAcentral's name for it is "partial internal transcribed spacer region". The stretch from base 1 to 46 matches the Rfam family "Eukaryotic small subunit ribosomal RNA", at positions 1786 to 1831 of the family's 1831-position model. The record is from RNAcentral. Lineage: Eukaryota; Fungi; Basidiomycota; Agaricomycetes; Agaricales; Physalacriaceae.
AAGUCGUAACAAGGUUUCCGUAGGUGAACCUGCGGAAGGAUCAUUAUUGAAACUUGAAUCGUAGCAUUGAGAACUGUUGCUGACCUGUUAAAGGGUAUGUGCACGUUCGACGUGUUGCGUUCUAUUCAUCCACCUGUGCACCUUUGUAGACUCGAUUAACUUUCGCUCUCGAGCGGUUAGAAGGGUUGCUUUCGAGCUCCCUUUGUCUAUCAAGUCUAUGUCUAUAUAAUCUCUUGUAUGUCUAGAAUGUCUUGUUUAUGGGACGCAAGUCCUUUAAAUCUUAUACAACUUUCAACAACGGAUCUCUUGGCUCUC